UACGGAGGAUGCAAGCGUUAUCCGGAUUUAUUGGGUUUAAAGGGUGCGCAGGUUGUUUGAUAAGUCAGUGGUGAAAGUCUGUCGCUUAACGGUAGGAUUGCCAUUGAUACUGUUAGACUUGAAUAUGGAUGAGGUAGGCGGAAUGUGUAGUGUAGCGGUGAAAUGCAUAGAUAUUACAAAGAACACCGAUUGCGAAGGCAGCUUACUAAUCCAUCAUUGACGCUGAGGCACGAAAGCGUGGGGAUCAAACAGGA
RNAcentral lists this ribosomal RNA (254 nucleotides) under uncultured prokaryote. Its description in RNAcentral is "partial 16S ribosomal RNA". It matches the Rfam family "Bacterial small subunit ribosomal RNA", at positions 524 to 777 of the family's 1533-position model. The record is from RNAcentral.